GUGUCAGCAGCCGCGGUAAGACAGAGGGUGCAAACGUUGCUCGGAAUUACUGGGCGUAAAGCGCGUGUAGGCGGGUUUCCAAGUCAGAUGUGAAAUCCCCGGGCUCAACCCGGGAACUGCAUUUGAAACUGGGAGUCUUGAGUAUCGGAGAGGAAAGCGGAAUUCCUGGUGUAGAGGUGAAAUUCGUAGAUAUCAGGAGGAACACCGGUGGCGAAGGCGGCUUUCUGGACGAUAACUGACGCUGAGACGCGAAAGCGUGGGGAGCAAACAGGAUUAGAAACCCUAGUAGUCC
Molecule: ribosomal RNA, 292 nt
Filed under: uncultured bacterium
Lineage: Bacteria
Description: partial 16S ribosomal RNA
Rfam family: Bacterial small subunit ribosomal RNA
Source: RNAcentral